ACCCUCGUGGCCUAACGGAUAAGGCAUGGUCUCCUAAACGGGGAUCGCGGUUCGAAUCCGCCGGAGGUA
This is a non-coding RNA of Araneus ventricosus, 69 nucleotides long. NCBI's taxonomy places the organism in Eukaryota, Metazoa, Arthropoda, Arachnida, Araneae, Araneidae. The record is from the annotation of a GenBank genome assembly.